AACCUGUGAUGAGGACACUUGAGUAGAAGUUCCUUAAAUAGUUCAUGUGCCUCAAAGAUUGUUUCAGAGUCCCCUUGCCUGAAGGAUGAAAUCUCCUAUCUCAGUCU
Dioscorea cayenensis subsp. rotundata (Guinea yam) is the source of this 107-nucleotide small nucleolar RNA. Lineage: Eukaryota; Viridiplantae; Streptophyta; Magnoliopsida; Dioscoreales; Dioscoreaceae. The record is from RefSeq and is a predicted model, not a curated record.